This 64-nucleotide transfer RNA is filed under the name Laemobothrion sp. RNAcentral describes it as "tRNA-Ser". The record is from RNAcentral. Lineage: Eukaryota; Metazoa; Arthropoda; Insecta; Psocodea; Laemobothriidae.
AAGGAGGUUAGUUGCUAAGCAACAGAUACUUUGAAAGUAUCAGCUGAAAUUUUUCACCUCCUUA